AACUUCUGGUACUGAUGCUGUGUUCGCCCGGCGGCUUCGUGUCGCUUGUGUGCGUUCGAGCAUCUGCCAUCCUUGUAGGUCGUACUCGGCUGCCCUUCGUUGUGUGGUCGAUACGGUCUAGAUCUUUUACUUUGAAAAAAUUAGAGUGUUUAAAGCAGGCUUGCGCUAUGAAUACAUUAGCAUGGAAUAAUAAUUUAGGACUUUGUUUCUAUUUUGUUGGCUUCUAGGGACGAAGUAAUGAUUGAUAGGGAUAGUUGGGGGUGCUAGUACUCAGCGGCCAGAGGUGAAAUUCUUGGAUUCGCUGAAGACUAACUUAUGCGAAAGCAUU
This 328-nucleotide ribosomal RNA is filed under the name Paracercomonas sp. RNAcentral's name for it is "SSU rRNA". The stretch from base 93 to 328 matches the Rfam family "Eukaryotic small subunit ribosomal RNA", at positions 718 to 955 of the family's 1831-position model. Lineage: Eukaryota; Cercozoa; Cercomonadida; Cercomonadidae. The record is from RNAcentral.